GUAUGCUGCACAUAUCCCAUAUGGAUGACCUCAUUGCAAACUCCAUGAAAAUUCUGGAACCAGCUCCUGUUGAUGCGCAAGGGAAUGAACGUGAAGAUGUGUUGCAAGCAGAGGAACCGAUCGAUUUGUUUAUCUUGCCAGGUCUUGCGUUUGACAGGUGUGGGCGACGUU
Molecule: non-coding RNA, 171 nt
Organism: Camelina sativa (false flax)
Lineage: Eukaryota; Viridiplantae; Streptophyta; Magnoliopsida; Brassicales; Brassicaceae
Source: RefSeq, a predicted model, not a curated record